GGAGGGUCCAAGCGUUGUUCGGAAUCACUGGGCGUAAAGCGCGUGUAGGCGGCUUGGCAAGUCGGGUGUGAAAUCCCGGGGCUCAACCCCGGAACUGCACCCGAAACUGCCUCGCUAGAGUCCCGGAGAGGAUGGCGGAAUUUCCGGUGUAGAGGUGAAAUUCGUAGAUAUCGGAAGGAACACCAGUGGCGAAGGCGGCCAUCUGGACGGUGACUGACGCUGAGGCGCGAAAGCGUGGGGAGCAAACAGGAUUAGAUACCCUGGUAGUCCACGCCGUAAACGUUGAGUGCUAGACGUCGGGGGUAUUGACCCCCCUCCCGGUGUCGAAGCUAACGCAUUAAGCACUCCGCCUGGGGAGUACGGUCGCAAGACUA
RNAcentral lists this ribosomal RNA (374 nucleotides) under uncultured organism. RNAcentral's name for it is "partial 16S ribosomal RNA". It matches the Rfam family "Bacterial small subunit ribosomal RNA", at positions 527 to 896 of the family's 1533-position model. The record is from RNAcentral.